AAUCCAACCCUUCUUGCACAAUUUCGCCCUAUCGGUCUGUGCAACGUGUUAUACAAGAUAGCUUCAAAAGUUAUUUCAAACCGUCUGAAGCUCGUUCUGCCUGACAUUAUUUUGGAGGAACAAUCUGCCUUUGUGCCAGGGAGACUAAUUUUUGACAAUAUCAUUAUUGCUUAUGAGUGUCUCCACUUCAUGAAAAGGAACAAGGCAAAGAAAAAUCAACAUUGCGUUGUAAAAUUGGAUGUGAUGAAGGCAUAUGACAAAGUUGAGUGGGCUUAUCUGAAAGUUAUAAUGCUAAAACUGGGUUUCAAGGAGAAGUGGAUGGAGAUAGUCAUGGGAAUGGUAAGUGUUGGAAAUAUGCCCUAG
This 363-nucleotide ribosomal RNA is filed under the name Triticum aestivum (bread wheat). RNAcentral's name for it is "partial small subunit ribosomal RNA". The record is from RNAcentral. Lineage: Eukaryota; Viridiplantae; Streptophyta; Magnoliopsida; Poales; Poaceae.